Molecule: long non-coding RNA, 434 nt
Filed under: Helianthus annuus (common sunflower)
Lineage: Eukaryota; Viridiplantae; Streptophyta; Magnoliopsida; Asterales; Asteraceae
Description: hypothetical non coding rna
Source: RNAcentral
GGAAUAUGCUAGGAAUAUGCCAUAUGGAAUGUCUAUAAAUACCGUGAGAUGGCACAUAUGAACUUUCACACUUCACAACACCAAACAACUCUCCUCUCUCCCUCUAGAAAGCUCACGGCCAAACAUCCCUAAUCACCCAUCAAUUUUUCGAGCCUUGUUCAAGCCAUUCCAAGCAUACCCAAGCAUCAAGGAUCACGUAUUAGGAGGCUUGGUGCACUCGGAGCACGAAGGACCUUUUUCUCUAGCUUUUAUCCACCACAUUCGCGUCUAGAUUCUUCCCUAGCCUCGAGCUAGUGCUCACAUGAUGUGUUACGACGUUAAAUAAGCAAACCCGGUGAAGUUUACGACGCACAGGAACGCAAAGUUGUGAGUUCAUGCUCCCCCUUUUCUCUUAACUGUUUUCAGUUUUAUAACUUCGGGGGUGAAAUACAUGU